UUUCUCCCUCCCUUCUCUAUCUAAAAAAAAUCAGUGGAAAAAUAUCCUCGGGAAACCAUGGAUGAAGGACUCAAGUGGCCAAUGAAAAAUGACAAAAUAUGGGGAAAAAGGAGCAUCUGGAAGUGGCCAGUCUGUCAGUUUGGAGGAAGCUCAGGGGAUGUGUCCUCUUCUCUCCCUAGGUAAUAAUUCUUGAACAAGGAGGCCCUUGAGGAACAUUUUGGGACCAUUGAGGAGUUGAAUGGUCCAGAUGCCCUAUCCCACUGAGAACCACUGCCAUCUACAUACACUGUUUACUGGAAAUAGCAGAAACCACCUGGCCCUUUACAACCACUAUGUGUUCCCUCAAGUGUUCUCUGCACUCCUGAUGUACACCUCACCUUACACCCCUUGUCUGACUACCACAUACGACCAACAAUGCUUCAAGAUUUGCCUUACCUACUGGCCCUAAUGGAACUGCUAAAUCGAAAAAGCAUUCAACUCCUACAUGCCAACAAGUACCAUUCUGCCUGUGAACAGUUGAGUGAACAACACAAAAAAAGAAAAUGCAGGAAAAUUUUAUUCAGGGAAUGCAACUCCUAGAGCUUCUGGUUAACCUUUCUGAUGACAAAAGUCAAUCUUAUUUCCCAACACCACGAAAGGAAAGUUUUCAGGAUCCCGAGGACUGGCCUGGAUGAGAAACUCAUCUCUCCAACUAUCAAGGGUUUUGAACGUGUUGGGGGC
Molecule: long non-coding RNA, 720 nt
Organism: Molossus molossus (Pallas's mastiff bat)
Lineage: Eukaryota; Metazoa; Chordata; Mammalia; Chiroptera; Molossidae
Exons: 5
Source: RefSeq, a predicted model, not a curated record